CUGUAUUAGCUGACCGAUAUUGCCGUCUGUAGCGCGGGCAAAUGAUUUCCUUUUCAGCUCCCAUAUCCAAUGGCUUUUGCUGCUGUUUUCAUUUGGGGGGGGGGGGUAUUCUGUGCCAUUGAAGUCGGUAUCUGUUCACACAGUACCGGACAGGACCGGGAGCCGCUACAGUUCUGUUCAUGUGGUCGACUGAAUCUGCGCAGCAACGGGAGGAUAGCCGCAAGUGCGACGACGAGGAAGCAAAAGCAGAUGAGGAGAGUGCGAACAACCUACAGGAUGGCGAGACUCCAGAUGCCAAGUUACUCCAAAAGAAUGGACAGAUCUCCGGGCUGAGUGGAAAAGCAGCGGGCAAGAUUGAAGAGGUCAACGGACUGUGUGAAGACAGGAUCGUUGCAGACGUUGGUGAGACAAAUUCAGUUAUCAUUUCUCAGAAUAAGGACAUUCCGGAGACGAUAGAGACUCUCACAGAGAAGAUACCACCUCUGGAAAAUGUGAUGGGAAGGAAUCACCAGAUGCAGAUGAUGAGGCAUCAACAAAUGAGACUGAAACAGAAGUUAAAUUAAAUGAAGUCAAUGAACGUUUAAAAAAAUUCUUCAGUUCAAUUUGUUUAAAAUUUACAUUGAAAAAAGACUGACACAACACAAGAAGAAGUGAGCCCUAAGAAAGUAGAUGGCGAAGCAAGAACUCCUGAGGAUAUCAAGGACACAAAAGAGACCACUAUAGAUAAUGCUGAGGAGAAUACCGAGCAGAGCAGAUCUGACUGAUAAAUUGUUGGUGAUACACCAACAAAGUCUGUUAGCGAUACACUAAAAGAGCUUAUAGAUGAUACACUAGAAAAACUGGUUGACGAAAUACUAAAAGAGCCUGCUGAUGAUAUACCAGAUGAGCCUACUGAAGAUACACAAAAAGAGCUUCUAGAUGAUACACUAGAAGAAGCGCAUAUCGACGAUGCACCGAAUGAGGUUGUUGAUGACACAACAGAGGAACCUACUGAUGAUUGUACCUCUUGCCAUAUGAUGACAGACCUCACAUUUGUGACAUUUUCUCUAUAAAACCACCAAGGAACAUACCACAUACCAGAAAUGAUAGAACCUAAGGAGGACGUCACACCUGAAGAAGUGGCAAAAGUAGAGAGAGAGGCAGAGGCACCAGGCCCACUGGUUCCGGUAGUUGACGAAAUGUCUCCAUUGAAAAAAAAAAUCCUGACAGGAAAAAUACACAAGCAGGUUAAUCAAGAACCCACAAAAGAAUACAAGGUGGAACCUAAGGAUGAAGUCAAGGAAGAACCUACGGAAGAACCCAAGACCGAACCCAAGGAUGAACCCAAAGAGGAACCAAAGGAAGAAGUCAAUGAGAAAUCUAAGGACAAAGUCAAGGAGAAAGUAGAGGAGGAAGUCUUCCCAACCGAAGAGACAGAGGCACCAGCACCAACCAUUCUGGAUGUUGAAGAACAAAUUAUAUCCCCAAUUAAGAAGUUUUUCACUACUGGAAUCUUUGCCGGUUUAAAGAAAAAGAAAAAGCUUAUAGAAGAGGAAACGCCCGAAUAUGCGACCGUUGAGAAGGAACAGGAACUGCAAAGCAUUGAAAAACAGGAGGACAUAAACACAGCAGAGGAGGCUGGACUUGAACAAGAACAAACAAAAGAGGAGAUCAGUCCAGGGGUUGAGGGGGAACAAAAUGAGAAAGAACUUAAAUUUGAAAUUGCAGCCACAAUGUUAGCCGGAGAAAUAGAUUCCCUAAUGGCUGAGGCAUCCAAUGUCCCCGAACUCAUUAAGAGUAAUGUCCCUAAAAGUAGUGGAAACAGAGAGGAUGUUCUUGAAGAGCAGACAGCUACUAAUAUAUUACAGACAAUUAUCUCAAAUGAAGCUGAACUUCUUAGUUCAGGAAGUUCAGUCCAGGAUAUUCUUGAAGACCUGUGUCCUUCUUGGAGUUUCAUAACCGUUACAACAAAUAAAGUUGAAACAAAUGAAGCCAAACUUCUUAACUCUCAAAACAAAGUUAAAACACAGGAAAGUCUUGAAGAGCAGUCUCAUUCUUGGGGAUUUGUCACCGUCACAGAGGAUGUUCCUGAAGAGGAGCCAGCUCCUGUGGUAUUACUGACAGUUACCUCAAAUGAGGCUAAACUUCUUAACUCUCAAGAGAAAGCUAAAACCCAAGGAAGUCCAGUCCAGGAUAUUAUUGACAAGCAGUCUUCUUUUUGGGGAUUCCACACAGUUAUCGCAAAUGAAGCUGAACUUCUUAGCUCACAAGAGAAAGCUAAAAAUCAAGGAAGUCCACUGAGGAAGCUCUUGUCUGGGGCUGGUUUGAAGAAGCUUACUAGGAAGCGGAGAGGUAGUAAACCAGACAAGUUGACUGGAUCUGGUGAGCAUGUAGCUGAGGAUCUACUGUCAUCCACAGAUUCAGUGGAGUACCAGAAAGGAGAAAAUACUGCCUCUCUGCCAGAAGAAUUAUCAGCAGAGCAGGUAAAUGUGUCUGCUCAGGCUGGGUUGAGCCACGAAUCAGAUGAUGUAACCUCUGACAGUGAAAGGAAGAAGGAUGGUACCUGGACUUCCUUCAAAAAACGAAUGACGCCCAAAAGACAUCUCAAAAGAUCCUCUGAGAGUGAGGAUGAGUCAGCACUUAUAGGUUUACAUGAGGAGCCAAAGCAAAGUGAAGGGGAACAGGUACUAGAACAUAUCACAGAAGAGCCCAAAAAAAAGGUUGAUAUAUCUGUUUCUUGGGAGGCUUUCCUAUGUGGAUCUGCAAAGAGGAGGGGCAGAAAAACAUCGGACUCAGAGGAGCAAGCACCCAUGAAUGAAAGUACAAUACUAAGUGAACCAGGAAACACUGCAGCGUUGCCAUUGGACAGUUCUCAGGAGAGAGGUUAUGAACAUUUUACCUCUUCCCCUGAGCAAGUUGGAAGUCCCUCGGGGAGUGAAGGGGUGUCUACAUGGAAAUACCUUAAAAAGCUGAUCACCUCAAAAACAAAGGCAAAAACCGGGGAGGCCAUCAAAGUUAACUCACCAGAGCAGAUGCAAUCUGGCAUCGAAAUCACCAAAGAGAAGUCUUCUUUUUCUCUAAAGAAACUCAUCCCUGGACGCAAAAAGGGAAAGCAUGUAGAAAAGCAGGAACCAAUCUCUUCUGACAAGGCAGAUAUGGGUGUUGGAUCGGACGAUGAGGAGGACUCUGAAACGCCAGCAGUGGUCCCCAUGGCAGAGUUUGAAGCAGAAGAGCUAGGAGAGAAACACAACAUAUCAACUGAGGCUGUUAUAGAAACUCUAUUACACAUAACAGAAGAAGAAACCCAGCCAGACGUCUCUAGCACUUUCACCGAAUCGACCAUACCCAAAGACACCCUGCCCACUGAAGUAGAGAAGGCUCAAGCCAAAUAUACUGUGGAACAGUUGACCCCAUCAACAUCCCCCACUGCUAUGGAAAACUUUGAGGACCUUACAGAAUUCAUAAGUAAACAUCGGCAACUCAGUGAUAUACCUGAAGAAGUGUCUACUCCUGAAGAAGCCACUCAAGACGAUACCAUAGCCGAGGACCUAAUAGAGUUGACAUCUGAAGCAGUCACUGCCCCAGAACCUCUAGAUGAAGAAACAACAGAAAUGGUUUCAGCAGUGUCACAGCUGACAGAUGAGUCCCCCAAAACAUCAGGCAGCACAACACCUGUCCCAAUAGAAUACGAGUUAAAGGAUACAGAGUUACUUCUGCAUGAGACUGUUGAUACCAUUAGCAGAACCCACACUCUCUCAUUGGUAAAUAGAAAAGGCCCACAUCUGGAAUGUAUUUCAGUUUCUCCACAAAUAUUACACACACCAAAAGAGAAGGAAGCAACAGUUUUGAUAGCUCAUAAAAAAUCAGAUGCAGUUAAAAUCUGCACAGGUGAAGAGUCUCAACAAAUUGAUCUUGUUGAUAAAAGCCCAGUGACUCCUAUGGUAGAAUGUCCAUCUGAGGUCACUGAGGACACUGAAGAGUCUGAUGCUGCAAGAAUCACUACAGAUGAUUUACACAAAGCUGAAGAUGAAUCAAUUACAAUUAUGCACAUAGAAACUGAAAAGGACCCACAAACAGAAUUGGUAAAUGAGUUAGAAGAGGCAAGACCAGAACUUGUAUCCUACAUUAAUUCAGAAGAAGGUGUAGCUCAGGUUGACGAAAAGGUGGUAGCAGAAGAAACUCCACAGCCUGAUACAGAGAGUCUGGAUGUAUCAGUCACAGACAAACGUAUCUCCAUACAACCUCUCACGGAGUUCACUCUUGAAGAAGAGAAAGCGGAAUUCCUGGAUGUUGCGGAGGAUGCUGCAUACAAUGAGAAUGCACCAGUUAUAGAAACAAUCACAUGUGAGGUUCAAGAUGUCACAGCUGCAAUGCAUGACGUUUCAAUGUCGAAACCAUCUGACGUUCUGGAAUGUUUGAUUGCCAUAGUGACACCUGAAGUAGAAUCCCCAGAGAAAGGGGAUCCUGUGGGUUCUCUAAGACCACUUGAAGAAGCAAGACCAGUACUUGUCACCACCGUUAAUUCAGAAGAAGCUCAGGUUGAAGGAAAAGACGUUCUGAAAACUUUGAUUGCUGUAGUGUUACCUGAAGUAGAAGCCCCAGAGAAGAAAAAUCCUUUGGGUGCUCUAAGACCACUCAUAUGCUCUGCUAUGGUUCAGACACUAAAGGUAGAGGACAUGGUUGUGAUGAAGAAUGUGCCUUCAGCACAGUUUGUUGAUGGCCAUGUGAUCCAAGUACAAGUGACGGAUGCAGAGCUAAAGUCAGGUGAAGAAAUUGAUGAGAUAGUGCUUGAAGUGGGCUCAUCUGAUGCAAAUGAUCACAAGAUUCUAUUACAACAGGUGAACACUGAGAUUGAAUCAGAUGAAGCAAAUGUUAAGACAACCCGUGAGGUGGGCUCAACUGAUGAUCACGAGAUUAUAGUACAAGUGGCGGAUGCAGUGUUAAAGUCUGCUCAAGUAAUUGUUGAUCAAGGGCUUGAAAUGGACUCAACCAAUGUCACUGAUCAUGAGAUCCAAUUAAAAGGGUUGGAUGUAGAGAUUGAAUCAGCUGAAACAAUUGUUGAUACAGUUCUUGAGGUUGUCUUAACUGAUGUCAAGGGUCAUGAGAUCCAGGUACAAGUAACAGAUGCAAAUGCUGAGAAGGGUUCAGCUGAAGUUAUUGUGGAGACAGCACUUGAGGUGGUUUCCUCAACCGAUAUUAUAGAGGUCAUAGACGUUUGUGACAAAAUGGAGGACGAAGGAGAGGGUGAGAAUGCCACUGAGAAGAUUGAGGACUACAUGUUUGAAGAGGCCAGCAGUAUUAUAACUCAGGAAAUUGUCCAACAUGUGCAGCAGAACUCAUCAGAAGACCCCAAUGUUGUACCACAAUCAAGUGAAAAGGCUGAAGUUGAAUUAUCGAGUGAAGCAGAAGUUUCGAAAUCACCAGAGAAUACACCAGCGGUCGCAGUUAUAGAGAGACAAGGACAUCCACAUGUAACUGCACAGGUGCAAAAGACAAUUCAUUUAUUUGAAAACUACUUUGAUCUUAAUACUCAGGGAAAUGCACAAGAACCUUCAGAAAAAGAAACGGAGCCCUCGAUUGCUCUCGAAGUUGAUAUAGUAUGUGAGGAUAGAAAAACUCCUGAGGCAUUUGUAGAGCCCACUUCUGAAUUCAACAGCAUACCUGACGACACAGUUCCCACUACAUUUGCAGAGUCUUGUUCACAGGCAGAUGUGCAAGAUGUUUUUGGAACAGAGGCUGAAUUCAUGAUUUAUUCUGAAGUAGAUCAAGCCAUUGAUGUUUCUGACUCUACUAGCGGGCAUGAGAAGGAACUAGUGGGAAUGGUAGUAGAAUCAGCAAAGGAAUCAGUGGAGUCGUUUGAAAAGAGACUAUCUAUUGAAUCCCAUGUCCAUAUCCAUCUCCACAUUAAACCCAGAGAUACUGGAGUUGUGUCCACGGGAUUAGAGUCACCACUGCGUGCUAUUUGGCCACCUCCAAGUACUACUGCAGAAGUUGCAGUGAAUACUGACAGCCUUCUAACAGAAUCAAUAGAAUGUGAAAGUACUAUUGCAAAAGGUUCUGUGAAUACUGACUGCGUUCUAACAGAAUCAAUGGAAAGUGCUCAACUUUGUGAAGUCAGUCAAAUUGAACAAACCAGUGCCACUGCACCUCAUGUGCCACUGCAUACCCCACCUGCAACAGUGCUGUACACCCUAAACCCUGAAACAGAACAGGUAAUGACCAAUGCAGUAGGGUCUAACCCACACAUAGAGGAAGAUAAUGACCUAGAACUGUGGCUGGAUGCUGAGGAAGAUAUUGGCACAGUAAAAUCCAAUAUCUUGGAGGUUCUAAGCAAAAAAGCAGAUAGAGUAGAGAAGACGCUGCAGGACAGUGGAGAUAUAUUUGAUAUUGCACUUGAGCCUCAAAGCUUUCUGUCCGGAGGUGAUACCUAAUAAGACUGCAGCCAUUCUACCAAACUGACGUAUCAUGAACUGGUUUAACGAGCUAAAGGAGUGCUGGACUACCAAAGAACGACCUGAAAGAGAAGAUAGAAGUCCGCACAUGAAGGAUGACCCACCACAACGGAGCUAAUGGAGACAUUCUUCGGAUCGUUGAAUACAUUAAUGUGGAGCCCUGCCUUGAGAGGGACAGACUGAGGAUGAGGGUCUCUGUGUUGGAGGAGAGUGUGAGGUCCUACGAGGUAGAGUGUAAAGCCAGCAGAGAGACGGUGAUGAGACUGGUGGCAGAGGUGGCCCGGGAGAGGAGGAACACAGCAGGCAGUGCAGAGGCUCUCGAUCUGCUCAGACUGGAUUUAGAUAGUGCCUUGCUGACCAAGAGGAGCACAGAUAUGGAGAACCAGAGUCUAGCAGAGAGGCUGGAGGCCAAUCAACGUGUGGUUGAGGCAGCCAAGCAAGAGGCAGGGUGCCUGGAGAGGCAGAUCCAGGAGCUGGAAGGGAAACUCCAGACCAGCCAGGGGAAAAACCAGGCUACAAAGGGGAGACUGCAGGCCCUCCUGGGGGAGGUAGGGGCCCUUCUGCAGCUGGGUCUCUCCAUGCCAACUGAGGAGGAAAUACUACAGAGACUCGGGGACCUCUGCACCAGGCAGGAACGUAUGAAAGCGAUCACGGAGGAGAUGGAGAGGAGGCUGUCCCAGGUCCGUGAGGAUGUGUCCAGGCAGACAGAGCUCCACCACAGUGCCCUGCAGAGAGCCCAGCUGGCUGAGCAACAGGUCACAGACCUCAGCGACAGGCUGCAGGGUUUGGAAGCUGAGCUGAUGACUUCAGACGUGCACCGAGAUGGGCUGAGUCAUGACAGACAGCUUUAUGAGCAGUUCCUGGAACAGUUGUCAGAGAGGAUGAAAGUAGACGGUAUCGCCACUGACCUGGGCUACGACAUGAGACUUCAGCUCAUUCUGUCUCGGGCAGAGCAACUUGUCAAACUAGAAGGGACGGCUUUGGUGGAGAGCAAGACCCUGGCCCACAACCAACAGCGAAAGUUGAAGAUCCAGAAGGAGCGGUUGGAGAGUAAGGAGCUCCACAUGGAGCUGUUGAGGAGGAAGGUGUCUGAGCUAGAGGAGGAAAAGAGAAGUCGCUCAGCCCUGGCCAUGCAGCGAGACGACGCCAAUGUGACCGCCCGGAAGAUGCAGGUAGCCUAGAGGUUAGAGGGUUGGGCAAGUAGUCAGAAGGUUGCUGGUUCAAGCCCCAGGCACGGGCGUAAAAAGUGGAAACUGAACCGGCAACUGAAGGGCUGCUGGUCUAUGAUCCCAGGUACUAGCUCCUGCCAUUGUGCCCUUUAGCAUGGCACUUACCCCCUAAAACUGAACCCCUAAAGCUCCACAUCCAGGGGCGAGGUUAAGAUAGACAGAAGCCACAUUUCUGUUUCUUACUAAACUGACGAUGAAGUAUGUAUUCUACUCUAUCUAAAGAAUCUAUUCUAUCUUAAGUAUCUAUUCUAUCCUAAAGAAGAAGGUGGAGCGACUACAGGAGGAACUAGGAUCCACUAAGGUCUCCAUCACAGAGCUCAAGGCCCAGCUGUCACACACCAACGAGCUGAAGGUAGAGGGCAGGACAGCUCAGGCCCACACAUCCUCUAGAGGCAGAGUCAUAUAACUUCAUUUCCUGGCGACUUCCUGUAGCUACAAGAUUGCAUAUUGAGUUUGAAAAAAAGUUGGUUAUUAAAACCCCUAAGCACUGUCUUAUAUGUAAAUUGGGAAUAAUUGUUUAAAGACUAUACUUUCUAAUGUUAUGUUGUUGUUAAGUAACAUGAUCAAAAUACAUUCAUGUCCAAUUUGGAAUGAUGUGUCGAAGCUCAAAGUCCUGGAGCAGAGUCAGACCAAUGCAGAGCAGAGUAAGAGACUGGAGGACCUGGAGAAGGGCAAGGCCAAGGUGGAGAAGAAGUUCAGCACAGCCAGGACAGACCUACAGAGCCAGGAGCAUCUGGCCAGGGAGGCCCAGCAGCAGUUGACCAGCCUUAGACAGACCCUGGCUCAGCUCACUGACAGAGAGAGAGAGUUGGUAGACUUCCGUAUGGUGGUCUCUCAGAUGUUAGGUCUGGAUGUCUCAGCCCUGGCCCUUCCAAACUAUGAGAUCAUCAAAUCUCUGGAGAGCCUGCUUCACCCCCACCAUGACCUCCACCACCACUCCCUGGCCCUGUCCUGGCCCUGUCCUACCCACUACCAGAACCACCCUCUCCUACAGCUCCAGGACCGAGAUACCUCUGGGUCUGUCACAUCCCGCUCAGCUUUCUCUCAGAGGUCCACUGGCCCCGGAGGCUCUCCUGUGAACGAAACGUAUAUCUGCUCAUCCGGAGGACUCUGCUCAGGACAGGCACCUGUAUGAUAUGAAUGAUUUAUUUAAAUGAGGAAAAUGUAUUCAUUUGAGAUGCAUCAUAUAUAUUUUUGCCCGUUGAAAUUGGAUUUGACAUGAGUUUAUGUCGUAUCCAAAGUCAGAUCCACUUACUGUCAAGUCAAUACCACUGAAUCAGCCAUUUUGAAUAAAAGACACAAUCAAAAUGA
Molecule: RNA transcript, 8971 nt
Organism: Oncorhynchus kisutch (coho salmon)
Lineage: Eukaryota; Metazoa; Chordata; Actinopteri; Salmoniformes; Salmonidae
Gene: ccdc170
Gene name: coiled-coil domain containing 170
Exons: 11
Source: RefSeq, a predicted model, not a curated record